RNAcentral lists this long non-coding RNA (864 nucleotides) under Anas platyrhynchos platyrhynchos (common mallard). Its description in RNAcentral is "lncRNA (ENSAPLG00000019810.1)". Lineage: Eukaryota; Metazoa; Chordata; Aves; Anseriformes; Anatidae. The record is from RNAcentral.
GCUUGUGUGUCUUAGGCAAUGUAGCCUGUGUAGUGUGUGUUGUGUGGCCUGGGCAGAGUUUGCUGUGGCGCUGUGAGUGAAGAAUCUGAGUUAGAGCUGGUGCUUUGUGCAGUCGUGGACAGGGAAGGGAUAUCCUCCUGUGAUGGAGCUCUGAGGGAAGGUGAGUGUUGCCAGCCUGGUUGUGCCUUAUCCGAAGCGAAGACGCUCAGGUGUUUCUCUGUGAGGGUCGGAGGUGAGGCCGUUUGGGAUAGAGGAGCAGUGUGGCAGGUGGUUGCUUGCAAGCACAGUGGUCGUUUUGUCCUUUUGUGUUCCCAGGUGUUGUGGAUGAUGGUGGCCGCUCCUUUCAAGCUUGGACCUAAUUUGCAAGUAUAGAGGCAAGUGGAGUGCUGUUUUGAAAGGAUAAAAGUAAAGCUGGGGUCGCUUAUGUUGUUGAGGGAUGGGUGCUACCGCUGGCAGCUGAAUGUUUAUCUUCUGCCUGUGUCUUUCCUUUGUUCAUGUUGAAAUGCAGCGUGCAGUGCGCAGUGCAGGACGUCUCGACCCGAGCUGCCUCUGCAGUGACUCUGAUGCGUGAUAAGCUGAGGUAGCUGUUAUUUUUGGGGUGCGGUUGUUACUGCAGUUAUUUUCCUUCGUUCAAUAGAGUAAAAUUCCAGUUUGCCUUUUAGAAGUGCUGUAAGUGGCUAAUGAGAACAGAUGGAAGCAUCUGCUAUGUGGGGCAGGCAAGCGGCUGAGGUACAGGAGGGGAUGAAAGUAUGUGAUUUUUUUCUGGGGAUGGAAUGGAAUUGAUUUUGUUGGUGUAUAAUCUGUUCUGAUCCUGGAUUUUUCUUUCUAAGUUUAAAAAUAAUAAUAAAAUUUGAGCUAAUACCA